This 485-nucleotide ribosomal RNA is filed under the name uncultured bacterium. Its description in RNAcentral is "bacterial SSU rRNA". It matches the Rfam family "Bacterial small subunit ribosomal RNA", at positions 28 to 524 of the family's 1533-position model. The record is from RNAcentral.
GACGAACGCUGGCGGCGUGCUUAACACAUGCAAGUCGAACGAGGUCCACUGCGUAGCAAUACAAGGGAAGACCUAGUGGCGAACGGGUGCGUAACACGUGAGGAACUUGUCCCGGUCUCUGGGAUAACAGUUGGAAACGACUGCUAAUACCGGAUGACGUCGGAAUCUCGCAUGGGAUACUGACGAAAGGGUUACUGGAUCGGGAGAGCCUCGCGGCCUAUCAGCUUGUUGGUGAGGUAACGGCUCACCAAGGCAUCGACGGGUAGCUGGUCUGAGAGGAUGAUCAGCCACACUGGGACUGAGACACGGCCCAGGCUCCUACGGGAGGCAGCAGUGGGGAAUCUUGCGCAAUGGGCGAAAGCCUGACGCAGCAACGCCGCGUGCGGGAAGAAGGCCCUCGGGUUGUAAACCGCUUUCAGUAGGACGAAAAUGACGGUACCUGCAGAAGAAGGUGCGGCCAACUACGUGCCAGCAGCCGCGGUAAU